UUUUCUUUAACCCUUAUUUUCGGUGGAAACUACAGGGCAUGCCACCGCUAAGUGAUCGAACGGUUUGAUAACUGACCAUCCUUAUCGCACAUGGGCGGCCUCCUUCUAAUUUCCUUCCCCACGCGAGAGCACAGAGCAGUCGCCGGCCUCCACCACCGCUACUUGUGCACGGUUACCCCCGGCCUCCACGGCUCCAUCUCCGGCGUGGGCCCCGACGGCGUACCAUCCGCCUCAUGUGCAGCGGAAGUGUCCGCUCCCUUUUGCUGCUCCUGCCCCGUUUCGCCCCGUCUUGUCUCCUGACACCGAGAUCUGCCGCCAACUCAGGUCCCCUGCGCCGCUGCCCGGCGAGCUCCCUGUCUCCACCAUAUGGCCGAGCUCUCGAAGUCUAGGCUGCACCGAACUAUCCCUCUCCCUCCUCUGAACUUCAGCGUCGGCUCCCAACUGCCCCGUCCUGCCGGAUCUCGUAUGAUGCGGCUGCUCUUGGAGGUUCCCCAAUAAGGCUCUAUCUAUGAUGCUCAGUGUACCUUCCAUUCUGAUGGCAUUUUCCAUGAAUCCCCACUCCCCAGAAUUUAAUUCCUCAAUUUCUGGGAUUUCGAUUCAAUCGUGAUUCGGCGAUCUUGUGCUCGGAGUGGAUUUCCUUGGAUUUAUUUGAAGUAAACUGCAGCCUGUUACUGCCUGGAAGUUCGAAGAUUUCAGAUGGGAUUUGGAAGAACUAGGGUGGAUGGUUCGUGCAGCGCUGCUCUAAUCCUCUGAUACCAUGGGGGAGAGCAAUAGGUUCAUCAAGCACUGCAAUUUCAUCUGCGCCUCGAGUCCCUCGACCAUGGUUACCGGGAGGGUCGGUGAUCUUGUGCGCGGAGAAGAUUUUCUUGAAUUUAUUUAAAGUAAACUGUAGGCUGGUACGGCUUAAAAGUUCGAGAAUUUCGGAUGGGAAUUUCAUAUCUGCGCCUUGACCACGGGAGGGUCCCGACAUGGUCGUCUGCUUCAUGCCCGUGCUCCGACCGGUGACAGCUCGCCGACUUCAGCCUUGCCGGGGAGCCAGCCGUAAUUCGUCAGCGGACUGCCGCUGGAGGCGGCCACUGGUCAGCAUCCCGGCGUAGCAGGUUCUCGAGCUACGCACCAAGACGAAAUUCCAAGAUGCCAUACUUGUUAUUUUGCCGAUGGCCUGAUUCUGUCGCUGCUUGUUUGUCCAAGCUGCAAUAUGUUUUGAGGAUAUCAUGCGGUUAUUGGUAAAAUAGAUGUGCAAGCACAACCUACGCAGAAGAAGUCAAACAGGUGAAUCUAGAUGAGAAAUUCGCUCUGUCCUGAUAACAAGAAAAAUGAUCCACCUAGGAACGAUCAUAAUGCAGUAGAUACAUUUACCAACAUAUCUGUAUCAAAAACACCUCCAGCAUAGACCACCACGAUGGUGCAUACAAGCGGGUGGGAGAGAGGAAGAUCCAUUCCACUUUUUGUUGAAUCCGUUGCCGUCUCCCACAACCACAUGUCGUCUCGGACGAAUAUUACGGGAUCGGUGAAGAUCUAGGCAUCGCCUAUGUUGAGGCGGAAGAUGGUGCAUUUCUAUGACAAAUAUUAUUUUUCUCUUCCGUAGCAACGCACUGACAAAUUUCCUAGCAAAGAUACUUAAUUAAUAUAAGCAUAUUUUCAUCUAA
This is a long non-coding RNA of Lolium perenne, 1649 nucleotides long. RefSeq lists it as uncharacterized. Lineage: Eukaryota; Viridiplantae; Streptophyta; Magnoliopsida; Poales; Poaceae. The record is from RefSeq and is a predicted model, not a curated record.